GUGUGUUGUAGAUGUGUUGUAGGUGUGUUGUAGGUGUGUAGUAGGGGUGUUGUAGGUGUGUUGUAGGUGUGUUGUAGGUGUGUUGUAGGUGUGUUGUAGGUGUGUUGUAGGGGUGUUGUAGGUGUGUUGUAGGUGUGUUGUAGGUGUGUUGUAGGUGUGUUGUAGGUGUGUUGUAGAUGUGUUGUAGGUGUGUUGUAGGUGUGUUGUAGAUGUGUUGUAGGUGUGUUGUAGGUGUGUUGUAGGUGUGUUGUAGAUGUGUUGUAGGGGUGUUGUAGGUGUGUUGUAAGGGUGUUGUAGGGGUGUUGUAGGGGUGUUGUAAGGGUGUUGUAGGUGUGUUGUAAGGGUGUUGUAGGGGUGUUGUAGGUGUGUUGUAGGGGUGUUGUAAGUGUGUUGUAAGGGUGUUGUAGGGGUGUUGUAGGUGUGUUGUAGGUGUGUUGUAGGUGUGUUGUAGGGGUGUUGUAGGGGUGUUGUAGGUGUGUUGUAGGUGUGUUGUAGGUGUGUUGUAGGGGUGUUGUAGGGGUGUUGUAGGUGUGUUGUAGGUGUGUUGUAGGUGUGUUGUAGGUGUGUUGUAGGGGUGUUGUAGGUGUGUUGUAGGUGUGUUGUAAGGGUGUUGUAGGUGUGUUGUAGGUGUGUUGUAGGUGUGUUGUAAGGGUGUUGUAGGGGUGUUGUAGGUGUGUUGUAGGGGUGAUGAAGGGGUGACUGGCUGCGAAUAAGUGACAUCGGACGUGAGUCGUCUUCCAGAGAGAACGAAGAGGCCAAGUGACCUGGCAGAGGAUGGCUGAAACACUUUUGUAACGGGUAAGACAAUCUUCAUACAGAACGGAAAUGAUACACCCCGCAUUCAAAUUGUAAGUAUACUAAAUGAUUCACAGUGUGAUGAG
Long non-coding RNA from Oncorhynchus tshawytscha (Chinook salmon), 881 nucleotides. NCBI's taxonomy places the organism in Eukaryota, Metazoa, Chordata, Actinopteri, Salmoniformes, Salmonidae. The record is from Ensembl.